CAGUAGCCACGGGAAUACGUAGGUGGCAAGCGUUGUCCGGAAUUAUUGGGCGUAAAGCGAGCGCAGGCGGUUAGAUAAGUCUGAAGUUAAAGGCUGUGGCUUAACCAUAGUACGCUUUGGAAACUGUUUAACUUGAGUGCAAGAGGGGAGAGUGGAAUUCCAUGUGUAGCGGUGAAAUGCGUAGAUAUAUGGAGGAACACCGGUGGCGAAAGCGGCUCUCUGGCUUGUAACUGACGCUGAGGCUCGAAAGCGUGGGGCGCAAACAGGAUUAGAGACCCCUGUAGUCCCUGUCUCUUAUACA
This 301-nucleotide ribosomal RNA is filed under the name uncultured bacterium. Its description in RNAcentral is "partial 16S ribosomal RNA". It matches the Rfam family "Bacterial small subunit ribosomal RNA", at positions 509 to 808 of the family's 1533-position model. The record is from RNAcentral.